This 729-nucleotide unclassified non-coding RNA is filed under the name uncultured Prochlorococcus sp. RNAcentral's name for it is "partial may contain 16S ribosomal RNA, 16S-23S ribosomal RNA intergenic spacer, and 23S ribosomal RNA". The stretch from base 334 to 406 matches the Rfam family "tRNA". Lineage: Bacteria; Bacillati; Cyanobacteriota; Cyanophyceae; Synechococcales; Prochlorococcaceae. The record is from RNAcentral.
AGGACGCCGAAGGUGGGGCUGAUGACUGGGGUGAAGUCGUAACAAGGUAGCCGUACCGGAAGGUGCGGCUGGAUCACCUCCUAACAGGGAGACAAUAAAUUGAUUGUGAUGUCUAAGUUAUUUAUUCUUAGGCUGCAAUCCUGUCACCUUAAGGUCGAUCGGUACCUCAGGUUUUUGAAUUAGUUUAUAAUUAAUUCUUUAAUUUCAGUUCCUAAACUUGUCUAGGUCACACCCAACAAAGGUUUCUCCUGGGCCAUUAGCUCAGGUGGUUAGAGCGCACCCCUGAUAAGGGUGAGGUCCCUGGUUCAAGUCCAGGAUGGCCCAUUCGUUGUUGGGGGUAUAGCUCAGUUGGUAGAGCGCCUGCUUUGCAAGCAGGAUGUCAGCGGUUCGAGUCCGCUUACCUCCACUGAAAACUAUCCUGAUAACUAAAUUACGGAGAAAAUUUGUAGAUGUGUCUUAGAUUGUCUAUCUGAAGAACCUAGCUUCUUAUCAUCUUUUUAUAGUUGAUAACAUGCUGGGCUCGAUUGGAUUUAUUCCAAGAGAAUUCAGUAGAACCUUGAAAACUGCAUAGAUUAGAAAGAAUAAAGCAUCUCAUGGAUGCAUAAUUCUGUUUUUGUAAUUUAGUUUGAAAACUAAAUUACUACACAUGAAUUCAUGUUUAAUUCUUGAGUAAUAGCCGAGCACAAUUGAUUUUGUGAUUGUAUUUAAGGUCAAGCUACAAAGGGCUCA